AUGCUUGCUUGGGCAGCACAUAUACUAAAAUUGGAAUGAUACAGAGAUGGUUAGCAUGGUUCCUGUGCAAGGAUGACACACAAAUUCAUGAAGCGUCCCAUAUUUUA
RNAcentral lists this small nuclear RNA (107 nucleotides) under Dasypus novemcinctus (nine-banded armadillo). The record is from RNAcentral. Lineage: Eukaryota; Metazoa; Chordata; Mammalia; Cingulata; Dasypodidae.